GCGAAAGCCUGACGCAGCAACGCCGCGUGGGGGAUGAAGGUUCUCGGAUUGUAAACCCCUUUCGACCGGAACGAAUCCCCUCCUGGUAAAUAAUCAGGAGGAUCGACGGUACCGGGAGAAGAAGCCACGGCUAACUCUGUGCCAGCAGCCGCGGUAAGACAGAGGUGGCGAGCGUUGUUCGGAUUUAUUGGGCGUAAAGCGUACGCAGGCGGUUUGGUAAGUCAGAGGUGAUAGCCCACAGCUUAACUGUGGCACUGCCUUUGAUACUGCCUUUCUAGAGUGCAUGAGGGGGAAGCGGAAUUCCGAGUGUAGAGGUGAAAUUCGUAGAUAUUCGGAGGAACACCGGUGGCGAAGGCGGCUUCCUGGCAUGUAACUGACGCUCAUGUACGAAAGCGUGGGUAGCAAACAGGAUUAGAUACCCUGGUAGUCCACGCCCUAAACGAUGGGCACUAGGUGUGGGAGGUAUCGACCCCUUCCGUGCCGCAGCUAACGCAUUAAGUGCCCCGCCUGGGGAGUACG
RNAcentral lists this ribosomal RNA (519 nucleotides) under uncultured bacterium. RNAcentral's name for it is "bacterial SSU rRNA". It matches the Rfam family "Bacterial small subunit ribosomal RNA", at positions 375 to 884 of the family's 1533-position model. The record is from RNAcentral.